AGUGAACGCUGGCGGUAGGCCUAACACAUGCAAGCCGAACGGCAGCACAGAGGAGCUUGCUCCUUGGGUGGCGAGUGGCGGACGGGUGAGGAAUACAUCGGAAUCUACUCUGUCGUGGGGGAUAACGUAGGGAAACUUACGCUAAUACCGCAUACGACCUACGGGUGAAAGCAGGGGAUCUUCGGACCUUGCGCGAUUGAAUGAGCCGAUGUCGGAUUAGCGAGUUGGCGGGGUAAAGGCCCACCAAGGAGACGAUCCGUAGCUGGUCUGAGAGGAGGAUCAGCCACACUGGAACUGAGACACGGUCCAGACUCCUACGGGAGGCAGCAGUGGGGAAUAUUGGACAAUGGGCGCAAGCCUGAUCCAGCCAUACCGCGUGGGUGAAGAAGGCCUUCGGGUUGUAAAGCCCUUUUGUUGGGAAAGAAAUCCAUCUGGUUAAUACCCGGGUGGGAUGACGGUACCCAAAGAAUAAGCACCGGCUAACUUCGUGCCAGCCGCCGCGGUAA
RNAcentral lists this ribosomal RNA (506 nucleotides) under uncultured bacterium. Its description in RNAcentral is "partial 16S ribosomal RNA". It matches the Rfam family "Bacterial small subunit ribosomal RNA", at positions 29 to 523 of the family's 1533-position model. The record is from RNAcentral.